This 638-nucleotide ribosomal RNA is filed under the name uncultured fungus. RNAcentral describes it as "eukaryotic LSU rRNA". The stretch from base 227 to 379 matches the Rfam family "5.8S ribosomal RNA". The record is from RNAcentral. Lineage: Eukaryota; Fungi.
AGUAAAAGUCGUAACAAGGUUUCCGUAGGUGAACCUGCGGAAGGAUCAUUACCGAGUGAGGGCCCUCUGGGUCCAACCUCCCACCCGUGUUUAUUUUACCUUGUUGCUUCGGCGGGCCCGCCUUUACUGGCCGCCGGGGGGCUCACGCUCCCGGGCCCGCGCCCGCCGAAGACACCCCCGAACUCUGUCUGAAGAUUGCAGUCUGAGUGAAAACGAAAUUAUUUAAAACUUUCAACAACGGAUCUCUUGGUUCCGGCAUCGAUGAAGAACGCAGCGAAAUGCGAUACGUAAUGUGAAUUGCAAAUUCAGUGAAUCAUCGAGUCUUUGAACGCACAUUGCGCCCCCUGGUAUUCCGGGGGGCAUGCCUGUCCGAGCGUCAUUGCUGCCCUCAAGCCCGGCUUGUGUGUUGGGCCCCGUCCCCCGAUCCCGGGGGACGGGCCCGAAAGGCAGCGGCGGCACCGCGUCCGGUCCUCGAGCGUAUGGGGCUUUGUCACCCGCUCCGUAGGCCCGGCCGGCGCCUGCCGAUCAACCCCAAAUUUUUAAUCCAGGUUGACCUCGGAUCAGGUAGGGAUACCCGCUGAACUUAAGCAUAUCAAUAAGCGGAGGAAAAGAAACCAACAGGGAUUGCCCCAGUAACG